GGAUCGAUGAUGAAAACAAGUUCUGAGGACAGUGAUCAAUUUAUAACUAUGCCAAUCUGAGCUCC
Molecule: non-coding RNA, 65 nt
Organism: Mesocricetus auratus (golden hamster)
Lineage: Eukaryota; Metazoa; Chordata; Mammalia; Rodentia; Cricetidae
Source: Rfam